ACUGACAACUUCUGGCGAGAGCUGAGAACAGAGGUUUUUGCUAGGGUUUUUGGCUCUACGUUGAAAUACAGAACAGAGAAAGGAAAUGUCGUCUCUCAUGGCGAUUCGGGGAUCGCCGAGGUUCAAACUGACUCCUUCUUUAUCUUCUUCGCUCUUCAAGGUACGUUCUCUUCUAAACCCUCAGUUCGCUUUCAAUAGCAGCAUCAAUAGGACCUUAAUCCUCUCCAAAACCCUAAGCACCUCUUAUGCUGUUCCUGAUGACUAUCAAAGACCUCCACCCUCUAGUAAUCAGGACGAGAGAAGCCCUAAUGCCCACUGGAACGGGGGGAAUUCUAAUCAGUGGGGCUCGCCACAGGGCCAUAGUAACCCUAAUCAGUGGCCCUCUCAAGGCGAAAGGAGCCAUAAUCAAUGGAAUGCACGGACCCAGACCCAUCAACAACCUCCUCAACAUAUAAACCCUGGUAACAAUCAGUUCUAUUUCCAAAAUUUGAACCAGAGUAACGCGAAUGGGGGAUACCCUGCUUCAUUUCCUCAACAACCACGACAAAACCAAAAUCAAUGGAGUCCUCAAGGUCAAAACUAUCCCCAGUUCCGAAAUCCUAGUCAGGUGAAUCCUAAUCAGUUGAAUUCCCCGGCUCACGGCUUUUCUCAUCAUCAGCAGCAACCACAACAAAAUCCUAAUCAGUGGAAUUCCCGGACUCAAAACUAUCCCCAAUACCAAAAUCCUGGUCAGGUGCGCCCUAGUGUUCAGGAUUAUCGGCAACCUAGAAGCCCAAAUCAGUGGAACAAUCAAAGUCAGACAUACCCACAAGCUAGAAAUCCUGUUCAGUGGGCUCCUCAGCAAAACCCAAAUCAAGAACGUGGGGCCUUGGAGACUCGAGCACCUAAUUUGAAUGCUAACGUCAAUGUUCCUGCCCCGGCUCCUGCUCCUGCUGCUGCUCCGGCUCCUUCAAUAGUGGAUUUAAUGCAUUUGUGUCAGGGGGGGAAGGUUAAAGAAGCCAUUGAGUUGAUGGAUGAAGGUGUUAAAGCUGAUGCUGAUUGCUUUUAUGCUUUGUUUGAGUUGUGUGGGAAACUUGAGGAUGCCAAAAAGGUACAUGAUUACUUUUUGCAAUCAACAUAUAGAGGUGAUCUCAAGUUUAACAAUAAGGUGAUUGAAAUGUAUGGGAAAUGUGCAAGUAUGACUGAUGCUAGGAGAGUUUUUGAUCAUAUGCCAGAUAGGAAUAUGGAGACAUGGCAUCUGAUGAUAAAUGGGUAUGCAAAUAAUAACUUGGGAGAUGAAGGGUUGCAAUUAUUUGAGCAGAUGAGGAAACUGGGGUUGAAACCAACUGAGGAAACGUUCCUUGCAGUUUUGUCUGCUUGUGCCAGUGCAGAUGCGGUGGAGGAAGGAUUUUUACAUCUUGAGUCUAUGAAGAAUGAGUAUGGAAUUAAUCCAAGGAUGGAACAUUAUUUGGGGGUUAUUGAUGUACUUGGGAAGUCUGGGUUUGUUAAUGAAAUUGAAGAGUACAUUGAGAAACUGCCUUUUGAGUCGACAGUGGAAAUUUGGGGUGCAUUGAGGAAUUAUGCUCGAAUUCAUGGAGAUGUUGAUCUUGAAGACCUUGCUGAGGAGUUGAUGGUUGCUCUUGACUCAUCAAAGGCUGUUGCUAACAAGAUACCUACUCCGCUGCCAAAGAAAUAUAGUGCAAUCAGCAUGCUUGAAGGAAAGAAUAGAAUAGCCGAGUUUCGGAACCCUACCCUUUACAAAGAUGAUGAGAAAUUGAAGGCAAUGAGUAAGGCGGUGAGUUAUGUGCCAGAUACCAGAUAUGUUCUUCAUGACAUUGAUCAAGAAGCCAAGGAGCAAGCCUUAUUAUAUCACAGUGAGCGUUUGGCAAUUGCAUAUGGUCUCAUCAGUACUCCUGCAAGAACACCUUUGAGGAUAAUUAAAAACCUCCGUGUGUGUGGUGAUUGUCAUAAUGCUAUCAAGAUAAUGUCCAAGAUUGUUGGGAGGGAAUUGAUUGUCAGGGAUAACAAAAGAUUUCAUCAUUUCAGGGAUGGCAGUUGCUCUUGUGGAGAUUACUGGUAAAGUUAUCAGCACAACACUCUCCAUAUGUAUUGAGCGAGAUUAUCUCUUUAAGGAAUUUUGAUAUGUAAAUUGCCAAAUCUUCUGAACCAUAUCUGCUACUGUGGACAGUGAAAGCAGCACAUCUAGUGAUAGAAAAUAAACUUUUUACUGCUUCACAUGUGUGGUUUAGUUGUUUUAAUGAUCGAUCAAUUAUUUGUUAUGAGAUUUCCCUAUGUUAACAACUGUUUCCCCUUCUCUCUCU
Molecule: unclassified non-coding RNA, 2300 nt
Filed under: Hevea brasiliensis (rubber tree)
Lineage: Eukaryota; Viridiplantae; Streptophyta; Magnoliopsida; Malpighiales; Euphorbiaceae
Source: RNAcentral